Small nuclear RNA from Trichomycterus rosablanca, 165 nucleotides. RefSeq annotates it as U1 spliceosomal RNA. NCBI's taxonomy places the organism in Eukaryota, Metazoa, Chordata, Actinopteri, Siluriformes, Trichomycteridae. The transcript has a single exon. The record is from RefSeq and is a predicted model, not a curated record.
CUAUUACCUGGCAGGGGCGCGGGACCAUGAUCAAGAAGGUGCUUCACCCUGGGCGAGGUUCAGCCAUUGCAUUCAGGUUGUGCUGACCCCUGCAAAUCCCCCAAAUGUGGAAAUCUUGACUGCAUAAUUUCUGAUAGUGGGGGACUGUGUUUGUGAUCUUCCCUA